This 3774-nucleotide long non-coding RNA is filed under the name Homo sapiens (human). RNAcentral's name for it is "non-protein coding lnc-SHPRH-6:1". Lineage: Eukaryota; Metazoa; Chordata; Mammalia; Primates; Hominidae. The record is from RNAcentral.
CUUCAAGUCCCACUGAAAUGACAAAUCCUUCAGGCCACAUAGCUCUUUCUCACCUGAAGAAUGACUUUUGGGGGUUGGGAUGGGUUGGUAUUUAGCAAAGCAGAGGCAGGGACUUGGGCGAUCUGCCUGUGGUGUGUGGAAUGGGCUGCCUGGAGAUGCAUGUGGGCUGCAAACACUAGGGAAGCUCCAAACCAGACCUACCUCAUGAAGAGUGGAAGGCUAACUUGAAAGCAUACUUUUGCUUAAAGUUUAGGAAGAGAAAUACCAUUCAAUCAAAAUUUAUUUUGUUUUGUAACAUAAGAAAAAAAACCCAAAUUCCAAUAAACGUGUUAAUUUAAUCCAGUGGUUUAGAGGUAUGUCAGAAUGCAAUCAGAGUGCCAACAUUUCUCAUUUAAUCAUAACAUGCAAUCCUUAUAUUAAUGACACAGUUUUAAAACAAUAUUGGGGAUCUUAACUGGGACUUUGUCACCACUCUUUUUUCUGCCAUUUCCUUAUUGUCCACAUAAUUUCUGAAAAAUAGAGAGGCAAAAAUGGAAUAUGUCUGUCCACAAGAGAUUCUCACAAUGAAGAGAAGAAGAGGGGCAUGGAGGGGAGAGAGCGUUCAUUUUGAUACUGGCAGAAAACAGAAGAUCCUCACAAGAACAACACCUUACAUUUCAUUUGUUUCUCCUUGGCUCUUCUUUUCCUCUGAGGAACAGUCAUUACUGGAGUUGUUUCUCUUGAGACAGUGUCAACAGAGAGGCUCAGCAGUAGAGAAACUUUUAUUAACCCUGGCACCAGCCCGUUCACAGGGCAGGGAGCUCUUUCACAGCCAGAAAGCAGUCAGUGUUGGAGAAAAUAGACAUACGAGAAUUAGCAGGGAGGAGAGGUGGGCAGGAGGUAUGAACAGGCUGCAGGUAGCAAUGAUGAGAACAUCUUGGUGUAGCAUCUUUCAGGUUUGUGCAGACAAAACCAGGGACCUUGUUCCUUUUCUGGAGUUUGCUCUUCCAUGACAAGGGGAUAGAGUAGUGUGACAAGGACCCCAUUUUUAGCUGAACAAAGGAGAAAGUCCUACAACAGUAGCCUAUUGGAAAAUCUUCCACGCUUUCUUACAUUUUGAAACAGAAUACAGAGAUUGGCAUUGUUGUUCUCAAUUUCAAAGCAGUAAAAGAUUGUGUGUGAAAUGAACUGGAUGUCCCAUAGUCUGAUGUCCAAGGACUGGGCAGUAUAAAAGAGAAAGCUGAAGUAAGUGGCUGCUUUGGGAAAGUUGGUUGUUGGGAGAACAGCUCCUGUUUGGGGAACAUUUUGGCAAUAUCACUUGCAUAAAAUAUAUCUAAUAUUUAACACCCACAAACAUUUCCUUAGAUGAACAUACAAAUUUUAAAACAUGCAUAGAUGUUGCCCAAAGUUCUGCUAUUUUUUUCUGAAUUAUAGUCUUUGUGAUAAAGAAAAAAAUCUGCUCAAAAAAUAACUAAUCUUAUAAACCAUUCUAAAAAUAUUUAUAAUAUCAAGGCAGCUAUUACAAAUUCUUCUAUUUUUUUAAAUGACUAUUUUCUCUUAUGUUAAAUCAGGUUUUGGUCUGAUUUGGGAGUGUUUGUUAUCCCUCUCUUCUUACAAGAACCUGUAUUGAUUCUUUCAACGGUAGAAAAUAAUUCAUUUAGUUUGAUACUGCUUCCCAAAUACCUAUAUUUACUCUUAAAUAUCUCUAUGAAAAGUUGCCCUUUCUCUUAUUCUCUUUAGACAUGCAAAGGUCACUUUUUCGAUAAAAAGGAAUAACUCCAUAAACAGUCCUAAACUAAUGACUGUAAAACUGAAACCCAACACUUUCAUCAACCUUACUGAGACUGUCAGCCUCUCACCACCCCUGAUGAGCAAUUCCAGUUAAUGUUUUACCUCCAUGAAAACUCAAAGGCAGAGAAGCCUAGCUCUGAACUUAUUGUAGGGCCUUAGGCUAACUCAUUGAUUUUUCUGGGCCUGCUCUAAGAUGUUAUAUAAUAAUUUCCUCCCUAGUCCUCCAGAACUUUGGCUGAGUAUGGAAGACACAUAGGAAGGCACAGCUGAGUUACGUGUAAGGGCUGGGGAGUGUUGAAUUUAUUUCUAUAAAAAUAUGCGAGGAAGUUAAUCUUUUUAUUCAUAAGAGCAUGAAUACAGAGGAGCUGGGAUGAGUGACGCUGGAAACAUAGGGCAAGACAAAUGACUUUUAAUAACAAAAAUGGCGAAUACUCAAUUCUAAAUUUUUGGUGAAGAGGAGCCGUAAGGCUUUUCUUUCCUUUAACAUCUCUACAAGCCUUCAGUGAAGUCCACUGCCCACAUAGAGGCUCUUUUAUGUAUAGAGAAAUCAAAGAAAAACCCUGAGCUAAGCAUCUGGGUUAGUGCAGAACAGGAAACACUCAUUCAUCAGGGCCAGGAAGGUGGAGCCAUGAGGAGCCAUGAGGAUCUAUGAGAAUGUAAUCCUGGAGACGUUAUAGAAAUCUUAAGAAAGGCAAUGGGUGCUCUCUGGGUUUGUUAUAGGAAUGAGGGCCCAUCUUACCAUGAGCUUAACAGGGCAGUAUUGCCCCUCAUCUCUCCUUAGUUCAGCUAAAGACGAGGUCCUUGCUCACGGCCACAAAAAAUUAGGCUCACAGACAAUUUGAAGGGUGAGAAUAAUGGAAUUUAUUGGCGAAAAGGAGAAAAAGAGGGAAAUAAGGACUCUCCACAGAGUGAGAAUCCUGCUAGUAUAGACUUCCUGCCUUGCAGCUUGAAUUCCAAGUUCCACCCAGGAAGAGGAGGGCCCAGGCUCCUCCCCACUGCAAUAGGCAGGAACUUCUGUGGCUCCACCCCAGUGUGCAACCCUCCCAGUGCACAGGUCAGUUGGAGGCUCUGCCAGGGAGCCCUUCCCACCUGACUGUCUCAGUAUGACCCCAAAUGGCAGCUGAUGAUCAGUCUGAGACUCUGACCAGGUUUGAAGCCAGACUCAGCCAUGCUCUAGCUAAUUAAUAUGGGGAAGGUACAAAUUGGAGCCUAAGUUUCCUUAUCAGUAACUGCCAAUGUAACAAUUGAUUCAGGGUCACCAAUGGGUGUAAAAAUAGUUAGGUAAAAUAUUGUUGAAGAAAGGAAUAAUCUCAAAGUAAAACUCCCCAUAUUACUUUCAAAUUAUAAGAGAAAAUACACUCUUCCAAUUGAGAGAGUAGGCAGAUACUACCUUAUCUGAGUAAUCAAACUUAACAUCAAUAAUGAGACUGAUGAUGGUACAUAGAUUUUUGUGGAAGAGCAUCCUUGUUUCUAAGAGAUAGAUACUUAAGUAUUUAUAGGUGAUAUAUCAUGAUGUUUACAACUUUAAAAUGUAUUGUCUAUUUCUAUAUAGAGAGAAAGCCAAGAAGCAGCAUAGUAAUAAUCAGUGAAUAUAGGUGAAGAGUAUGUAAAUUUUUAUUGCAUUAUUAUUUCAAAUUAUAAGUAAAAUACCUAGCAUCAUAUCAGGUUAUGCUAGUCUGUGCUAGUUGCAUGUUGAUUACCUCUUACUCUUCCUUCCUUUUUCCUGUGCUAGACUUUUUCACUUUUCCUCUAUCAUGAUAAGCACUCAUUAAUGGUUAUUUAAAUAUAUCUUGGGUAUAGUUAUAUUGCCCUCAAAAAAAGUAGACUCUGAAAAAACAGAAAGCACCAAAAGGGCAGAGUGUUGUAGAAAUGCCAGGAAAGGCAAUAACUGGCAGCUCUGCGAGGUUGUCCUGUUCUCCAAGGGGCAUCCCAUAGUGUGACAUAUUAGAUAUUUUGUAGAAUUAAGAGGAAGAAAUUAGUAGCUUGGAGAAAACAAUGCCCAGA